UCAUUAAUUCAAAUGCUGUAUGUGUAUAAUAAUCCAAUCCACGAACUAAGUUAGGAUCUUCAAUAUAUGGAAUAUCUAAAUCAUCUAAAUAAGCUUUUACUUGUUCAUAAUAUGCCUUAGAUUCCUCAUUUAAGAAAUCAGUGAUUCUAGGUGCAGUCUUAAUCGCUUCUUUAUCACGGUCUACUUUACAAUCCAAAAUUCGCAUCGGAUUUGUAUGCAAACGUGAUUGACAAUCUGAACAAAAUUCAUGAAUUACUGGUUCAAAGUGUUUCACUAACGCUU
Molecule: small RNA, 282 nt
Filed under: Staphylococcus aureus
Lineage: Bacteria; Bacillati; Bacillota; Bacilli; Caryophanales; Staphylococcaceae
Description: HMPRFS0000_1776
Source: RNAcentral